GUAGGGAAUCUUCGGCAAUGGGGGCAACCCUGACCGAGCAACGCCGCGUGAGUGAAGAAGGUUUUCGGAUCGUAAAGCUCUGUUGUAAGAGAAGAACGUGUGUGAGAGUGGAAAGUUCACACAGUGACGGUAACUUACCAGAAAGGGACGGCUAACUACGUGCCAGCAGCCGCGGUAAUACGUAGGUCCCGAGCGUUGUCCGGAUUUAUUGGGCGUAAAGCGAGAGCAGGCGGUUUAAUAAGUCUGAAGUUAAAGGCAGUGGCUUAACCAUUGUUCGCUUUGGAAACUGUUAGACUUGAGUGCAGAAGGGGAGAGUGGAAUUCCAUGUGUAGCGGUGAAAUGCGUAGAUAUAUGGAGGAACACCGGUGGCGAAAGCGGCUCUCUGGUCUGUAACUGACGCUGAGGCUCGAAAGCGUGGGGAGCAAACAGGAUUAGAAACCCCUGUAGUCC
Molecule: ribosomal RNA, 450 nt
Filed under: uncultured bacterium
Lineage: Bacteria
Description: partial 16S ribosomal RNA
Rfam family: Bacterial small subunit ribosomal RNA
Source: RNAcentral